AACGUAGGAGACAAACGUUAUCCGGAGUUACUGGGCGUAAAGGGCGUGUAGGUGGUAGUGUCAGUCUGGCGUGAAAUUUUUCGGCUUAACCGGGAAAGGUCGUCGGAUACUGCACAACUAGAGGACGGUAGAGGCGUGUGGAAUUCCGGGUGUAGUGGUGAAAUGCGUAGAGAUCCGGAGGAACACCAGUGGCGAAGGCGACACGCUGGGCCGUACCUGACACUGAUGCGCGACAGCAUGGGGAGCAAACAGG
RNAcentral lists this ribosomal RNA (253 nucleotides) under uncultured bacterium. RNAcentral's name for it is "partial 16S ribosomal RNA". It matches the Rfam family "Bacterial small subunit ribosomal RNA", at positions 524 to 776 of the family's 1533-position model. The record is from RNAcentral.